Non-coding RNA from Hydra vulgaris (swiftwater hydra), 2007 nucleotides. The record is from RefSeq and is a predicted model, not a curated record. Lineage: Eukaryota; Metazoa; Cnidaria; Hydrozoa; Anthoathecata; Hydridae.
AGUGUCAUAGUGCUCACCAAAGUAUGCAAUAUCAUUUAUAUACACUUUUAUAAAUAUAUAUUUGUUUUUUUUUGUAGAUAAAUAAAAACACUAAUUACGUCCUAUUCACAAAAAAAGUGGGAUCAUGACACAAACCGAAAAAACAUUAUUUACUUUUGCGCCCACAAAAUAUCAAGAUUAUUAAAUAAGCAAUCGAUAAAAGAGAAAGUGUCAACUUUUGAUUUAGAUUGCACUGAUACAAAAAAUCCACUCGGCAUAUGUGAUAAAUGUAGAAAUAAUAUGCAUAAAAAAACUACUUCCGGAUUUAAAGAUAGACUGGACUAAAAACAUUGUUACACAUUUAACCAGAAAUUCUACUAGUUGUCACUGUAAAAUAUGCAAACUAACCAGUCUACGUGGAAGAACCCAAGCAAGAAGAAGUAGUAAGUUUUCCAAGUUGCGUGCACCCCAUGAAAAAUAUGUAAAGUUUGUCUUUCAAACAUUGGGAAGGGAAAGAAGCACAAAUCAUAUGAACAAGGAUCAAAAAGGAUUAAACUUGCUACAGGUGCCAAACCUUUACAAAUAUCAGCAGGAACCUUAACAAUUGAACCUAAACAGAUUACCUUGAUUGGUUUAUUAAGGAUUCAAUCAACACUUUCUUUGUCCAACAAGAAACUAAUACUGCUAGCAGAAGAACUCAGAAUAUCAAUUAAAAGAAAAACUUGCAUACAAGCAAACCUACAAAAAGCACUACCGGUAAUUGAUGAUGCCCUGGAAGAUUUAUUUAUAAUUGAUUAUCAAGAAUUUGAUGUUAAAAAAGGAAAUUUAUAAAUAAGGGAAAAUAUCCCUAUUAUUAAAUGCACCAAUAUUGAGGAGUUUGUAAAGUUGCUUAUUGUGAUAAAAGAAGUGAACUUAAGCAAUCAAACAGUCAAGCUCGGUAUUGAUGGAGGAAGAGGCUUUCUAAAGAACUGUUUAAACCUACUGUUAGAUUGUGAGAACGAAGGUUUAGAACUUGACAAAAACAAUCAUGAAGAAAAAACUGCAAUUAGUUCAUAUGAAGAACCUCAGAAUUCAAAAUAUAAAGAAGGUUCUGUGAAAGCUUCUUUUUUACUAGCUUUAGUUCCGAAUGUUGCUGAAAGACAUUACAAUGUUUCUAUAUUAAUAAACUGUCUUAAUUUAGAUAAAAUAAAACAAUCAUUUGUAGCUGAUCUUAAGCUUUGUCAAAUAAUGUGUGGUUUAUCUUCAAAUGCUAUGGCUACACAACCUUGCUAUGUAUGCGAAUAGAAACGAAUGCAACCAUUUAAAAGAAGAAAAGCUUAGAACUUUUGGUUCUUUAGAGGAACAGUACAAAAAAUUUUCUCAAUCAGGUGCAAUAAAACAAAAUGCUAAAGAAUUUUGCAACGUUAUUAAUCCUCCAUUGAUACACGCAGAAGCCAGUGACUCUUUAGUAGCAGAUUAUAUUUUCCCGCCAGAGUUACACUUAAUGGAGGGAGCUGUUAAUCAUAUUUAUAAUCAUAUAGAGAAAUGUGGUGGUGAAAACGAAGUGGCCAAAGUUUCAAUGAUUUUAAACAUUUCAAAAGAGAACCAGAAUAAUGCCUUUAAUGGCAACGCCUCUCGUAAAAUCCUUAAAAAUUAUGAUAAGUACAUGCGCGCAUUACCAGUUAAUUUAAAGCCAUUGCCAGAGCGACUUAGAAUUUUAAACAAUUUGGUUGAGUCUUGUUCUGGACAAAAACUUCAUAAUGAAACACAUAUUAAAAACUUUGAAGAUCACCACAGAACACUUGUUGAAGACUAAGGAAUAAUUGUUUCAUUGAAAACUCAUUUUAUUAUAAAAUAUAUAGGUGCUUUUUGUGCAGUAAAAGGGCGUGGAUUAGGCUGCUACUCUGAACAAGCUGUUGAAGCAAUUUAUUACAGCUUUGUUAACGAAUCUUGGAAUAGACUAAAAGUUUCCAAAAGUAACAGCUCCUUUUCUGAACAUUUAAAAAAUGCUGUUAUCAGUUUUAACGGAAAAAACCUUAAAAAUAUUGC